GUUUCCGCAUUUACAUUAAGCAUUUAAGUUUCAAUCGUGUAUUCAUACUUAUCUAGUGUAGAUUGAAACUUAGCCUUUGCGGUAGAGAUAGCAACACUUAGACAAAACCUAGUUGCUCAUUCUAGUUUGUCUAUUUGCAUAGGUUUUGCUCUAGGGAUUUAAUUGUGGCCUAGUUUAGAGAAAGUUUUAGAAGUCCUAAUUCACCCCCCCCUCUUAGGUGUCACCCGUUUCCUACAGAUCUAUAUCAAAUGUUUGAACAAAAUCUAUAUCCACGAUAAAGUUGAUUCGUGGUACAUCUAGGUGGAUUUAAUUGGAUUUGGAGCUGAUGGAUCUCUAUUAAGGUAGUGUUUGGGAAUGCUCCACUCCAAAAAAUCUAGCUUCAAUAUAACUCCUUCCAACCAAACACCUCCUGUUCAAUCAACUCCGGCUCCAUAAAAAAUUCGGAUCUAGGCCCCCAACUCCAAGUUUUUUGUGAAGCUUCAAAUAGGUGCUUCGGAAAUCAUUGUUUUGUACCUCCUCAUAGAAUUGUGGGGGUAAUUACUCGUAUUGCCACCCAAGACCUCGUGGAUAGUCGGGUGGUUCUCCUCGUCGUGCCUCCUCUUCCGCGCCGAUGAGCGACUCCCCCGGCAUGCCUCCUCCACAUCGGCAGGUGGCUUGCCAACAUCGCUCCUCCUCAACGUCGGCCGAUGGGCUCACCGCAACUGCACAUCGGUUUGCGUCAACGUUUGGGGUUGCACCAGCGAGGAUGGAGACAGUCGCCUCAUGCCUCACAUCAUUCCAUCAAGAGAGGUGACCGAGUUAGUGGGGAUGGGAGCGAGAAACAGUGGAGUUGGAUCACCUACAUGUGGAUCGUUUAAAACAAGGAUAUAAUAGACAUUUACCCUAAAAUCUAUCAUUCACUGAACUAGAAUAAGAUGUUAAGCCAAACAUUUUUUCUAUUCCAACUCCAUGGUGGAGCUGCUAAAAGAUAGAGUUCGUAGAGUAGAGUGGAGCUGAAUUUCUUGGAGUUGAGUAGUCCAAAACGCCUUUUACAUAGAUCCUUAGAAAAAUUUAGCUCACUACGAAAUCAAACUAAACAAUAGUUUGGAAGAAAUGUUGUAGUGGUUUUCUUAUAAAUAAUUUCUCUUUAUGUAUUUAUAUUUUAUCGAUGAUUAAGGGUCUCUUUGGAACCAC
RNAcentral lists this long non-coding RNA (1173 nucleotides) under Zea mays. RNAcentral describes it as "drought responsive lncRNA". Lineage: Eukaryota; Viridiplantae; Streptophyta; Magnoliopsida; Poales; Poaceae. The record is from RNAcentral.